This 253-nucleotide ribosomal RNA is filed under the name uncultured bacterium. RNAcentral's name for it is "partial 16S ribosomal RNA". It matches the Rfam family "Bacterial small subunit ribosomal RNA", at positions 524 to 776 of the family's 1533-position model. The record is from RNAcentral.
UACAGAGGGUGCAAGCGUUAAUCGGAAUUACUGGGCGUAAAGCGUGCGUAGUCGGUUAUCUAAGUCAGGUGUGAAAUCCCCGGGCUCAACCUGGGAAUUGCAUUUGUGACUGGCAGGCUAGAGUAUGGCAGAGGGGGGUAGAAUUCCACGUGUAGCAGUGAAAUGCGUAGAGAUGUGGAGGAAUACCGAUGGCGAAGGCAGCCCCCUGGGCCAAUACUGACGCUCAUGCACGAAAGCGUGGGGAGCAAACAGG